Molecule: ribosomal RNA, 279 nt
Filed under: Triticum aestivum (bread wheat)
Lineage: Eukaryota; Viridiplantae; Streptophyta; Magnoliopsida; Poales; Poaceae
Description: partial small subunit ribosomal RNA
Source: RNAcentral
AUGGCAAAGUACUGGUGGUCAAGCUCGAUUGAUAAAAGGGCUCUCCACUGGCUGUCUUGGGACAAAUUGGCGUCACCAAAAAUCAAAGGUGGGAUGGGUUUCAAAGAUCUCCCACUUUUCAAUCUAGCUAUGCUUGGCAAACAAGGGUGGCGCCUCUUGACACAUCCACACUCUCUUUGUGCUCGUGUGUUGAAGGGGAAGUACUACCCUAACACAGAUUUUCUUCAUGCUACUGUUCCGGCGAGAGCCUCGGCGACGUGGAAGGCCAUUGUUGCGGGC